Molecule: long non-coding RNA, 1143 nt
Organism: Pyrus x bretschneideri (Chinese white pear)
Lineage: Eukaryota; Viridiplantae; Streptophyta; Magnoliopsida; Rosales; Rosaceae
Exons: 3
Source: RefSeq, a predicted model, not a curated record
UUCGAACGACCACACUCCCUUUUGAAAAUUCACCAUGCCAGCGGCCAGUGGUGGAUUUAUCUUGUUUUUUUUUUUUUUUUUUUUUUUUUUUGUUUUUAUAUUUUAGAGGAUAUUCAAACCUAAAAUCCAAAUUAUUUUCCCCUCGCGUGAAACUAGACGAAAACCCUAAAAAGAAAAUGUGAAUCCUUUUGUUUCUCCAUCUUUUCCAUCUCCGGUUGAGGUUUGCUCGUCUCUUUCCAGCCAUUUCUCCCUCAAUCAGUGGCAACCUCCUCCAUCACUCAGGGAUGUCUUGGCUAAAGAUGAUGGAACUGGAAAAGCAAAUUUGCUAAUUGGAGAUGAGAAUUUCAAACAAAAGGUUGAAGAAGUUGAAGCUCCUCUAUAUGAAGUUUGUACAGAGUACACAAAGUUGUCAGCAACUAUAGUUUUAUACAAGAUUAAGGCUUCCAAUGAUGCAACAUAUAAGCUUUUUGACGAGCUCCUCCAAGCCCUAAAAGACAUGCUUCUGGAAGGUUUACUUGUGCGGCAUGUGGAAGCAUGUAUAUACCGGCAAUAGAAGAUUUCUUCCACCUUCCCAUAAGUUUCGCGAGAAGGGUAAAUGGUUUGAUGGGAAUUAUGAUAUUGGGCAAAAACCAAGGAUAUUGACAGGUGAAGAAGUUUUAUGUGCUUCUGAAGUAGCUGGAAGGGAUUAGGGAAAAAAGUCAACUACACAAAAUGGCACAAAAAGGAAGAUGAGUGUAAUGAAAGGCGUACAGACAACAGGAAGUGAUCCUAUUAACAUAUGAAAAAAGAAAUCAAUUUUCUUUGACUUGCUGUAUUGGAAAGUUUGACAUUUAUACUUAACAUUUAACUAUAAAGAAAAGUAUGAUUUUUUUCACAACUAAUUUUCUUAUUCUUGCUUGUUUUGCAGAAAUUAUGUUUGAGGCAUAAUUUGGACAUCAUGCAGAUAGAGAAAAUUGUUUGUGAAAGUAUCGUUGGCACAUUGCUACAUAUUAAAGGUAAAUUAAAGUAUGGAUUUAAUUGUCGUAAAGAUUUAAAGGUAUUGGGCAUUCGGCAUGAUUUAUGCAUAACUGAAGAGAAAUGAAAUAAAGUAAUAAAAUAUUUACAAUUUACAACAAUUAAGCGAAAAUAUAUAAGAAAAGAUGU